GUUACUAUAUGUAACAACUGAGAUAAUGUAAAGUGAAAUAUGGCAUUCAUGGUAGACGAAGUGCAGGUAGUAAAAAACCAGUAGUUAGUUACUCAGCACAAUGCUACUAAACAAUACAAAGUCAGGUCUAACAAGACUUGCACAAUUUAUCCAAACUUUUGAAUGGAUAGCCCCAUUUCUAGAAAAUCAAUCUAUCCUGAUAGGAUGGAAUUUCUAAGUUGGUGAUAACUGCAACUUCAAUUUUGAAUAAUUACAGAAAAUAAUGGGACGUUCCCUCUCUAGCAUUUGCACCUAUGCAGGUAAAAAACAAAGACAGUUCCAUCCCUUUGGAGUUCUUGAGAGUCAUCGAAUGGAAGUUCAAAGUAUUGCAAAACAAUUUGUCAUCUUGAUUGAAUGUGUCACUUGUUUCUUCUCAAAACAGAUCCUCUUUAUUCAUAUACUCCAAGUACUAGAACAAAUAAACAGACAAAUAAAUAUAAGAAUAAGUAAUAACACAGUCAUGCUCAAAGACAGAGAACACCGAUUAAAGCAAUAACAGAUGUCACACUGAUUGACUGCUGUAACAACAAACUUAGUCUCAUCCCAUAAGAAGAUCACAAAUCUAAGUGAACAUUCAAAGAUCAAAGACUAAGUGUAAAGUAUGAAAUACCUGCAAUCGGCCAACAUGCAAUUUAAGAACAAUAUCAACAAACGUGACUCCUUUACCAAUGCUUAGAAGGUGGAAGUCACUCUUCUCAGCACCUCUCUCCAAAGGCUCCAGUUGUUCCAAUUCAGAAAACAAAUAAAAUUUAUGUUAGGCCACUCACAAAUUAAAAUAAUACAAUUUAUACGAUAAAUAUACAAUAUUGUAAAACAUAGAAUUAACAGAAAUAAAUAUUACUCCAAUCUAAGGUAGCAAUUGCCGCAGACAAUGGAACAGUUUAGUCCUAACCCUUUUAGUGGAAUAAAAAUUCUCAUUAGCUAACUUUUAAGUUCAGUUUGAAUAACCUAUUCCACUACCCAUAUAUUGUGCUCCAUCUGAUUUUACAUCACUUACUUAAUGCUCCCCAAGUGUUGUUUUUAUAGAAAAAGAAAACGUUUUAUCCAAUACAAACUUUAAAAUUCUUGGCAUGUCAUACCAAUUAAAUCAUCAGUCAAAACAUCAUUUUCCACAACCCAAGGAGAUACAAUUACCUUAUAAAAAUAUGAACAAUUAGAGACUCAUAAAACCCCUACACUUAAGCAUUUGUCCUGUUGGGGAAACCUCAAAGAAAAAGAACAAAGAAAACAGACUAACUAACCAAAACUGCACUCAAAAAUCUGCUCACAAUUUGGCAUAGAAAAAACAAUCUAUAUUCCUAGUUCAAAACUGUAAAAGACAAGAAUGAUCUAAUCUAAGUUUCAAAAAACACCCAUAUCAAUAAAAUCAAAUAGCAAACAAUCCAAAAAUACAUCUAAACCAGAAUUGAUUUCACCAAGAUAGUGUUUAAAUCUCUUUCUCUCAAGUGUUUCAGUGAAGGUGUUUAAGUAUCGGCACAUCAUCCAAUUAAAAUAGAAAUGAAUUCCAGAUCAUAGGACUUCAAUUAAGGUUUCUAGUGUGUCCUAGGUAUAGGUGAGGUAAAAAGAGGUGUACAAACGUAAACUCAUACAAGUUAAUUCGCAAGAUUCAUAAGCAUGGUCCUACAAAUGUGAUGCUUUAACCACUUUACAACAAAGUCAUACCUAAAAGAAACACAUCAAUUUUUUUAAUAAUUACAACUUCUUAAGAAAUUACACAUUUCAUGAUUUUCGAUUCUAAUAUAUUAAAAGAUCAUCUAAAUUGCUAGAAAAUAUGGAGACAUAAGUAUUAAUUAGCAUUAAACUACAUGUAAUAUACAACUCCAAAAUCUAUCCGAGAGACUACACUCACUUGACGAGAAGUAAAGGAGAAAAAAAACAUACGAUUUUAAUUGGCAUGAAUAAAACCAAUACAAGAAUAUACACUAUACUUUAAAUACGACUAUAAUAAGGGAAAAAUAGGUGAGGUAAUUGGCAGCAAUAUUCAUUUCUGUCAUAGUGCUAAAAAGGUCAAGUUAGAUGACUUGUCUCCAAUAGUUUAUUUUCUUCAAAAAUAUUAAAUAUUCUCCUAAAUUUAAGAAUACUAUGGAAAAAUAUUUCAAAGUUCAUAGACUUACAAAUAUUUGAAAUUUUCUCAUUAAAGUUAUGCAUGCACAGACUUAAAAUAUUUUAUCAAAUAAAUAUUUCUUAAAUAUUGAGCAAGUUCGAGUUCUGAAGAUAUAGAAGAACAAAAUUAAUUCUUUCAUAAAGAAUUCAAGAAUAGGAAUGAUGUUAAGGAUGUUGUCAAACGCAAGCUGUUAGGGAGCCGAUCUUUUGCCAUUGUUGUUCCAUUGCUACAAGGAAACUUUUAUGAUACCAAAAGUGAGAAAUGAAAAAAAAAAAAAACAUUUAUUAUUAUUAUGGUAACUAAAACCAUUAUUUGCUUCAAAGACCAAAAAUACAAUUAUCUAGAUGAUAAAGUGAUACAUGAUAUUUUUGUAAGUAAAUCAUUUGGGUUUUCAAAACUUAGACUUCAACACAAAAAAAAUUACAUAAGAAUGGUGGCAAAUCUAAAAGGUUCUUCAAGAAUGUCAUUGUUUAUUAUGAAAUUUCAAAAUAGUAAAAGAUAAAAAGAUAACCCAAUCAAAAAAUUAAGUUAUGACAUUAUCUAUAUGUAAAUUUCUUUUUUUCAUAAUAUUUAUAUUAAUUAAAAGGAAUUCUAAUUGAAAAGCCUAAAAAACUAAGUUCUUCAAUGUUUAACUACAAUGAUGUUUAUAAAAAAUUAUAUCAUUUUUAGUUGACACAAAAAAAAAAUAUACAUUAGUCUAUCUUAUUUAUUCAUUGUUACAUGUGAUUGGAUCCAAACAUUUGAUUUUAUUGAUUAGAACCACCUUCUUAACAUAGUAAAAAAUGUUCUAUUUAAAAAUGACUAUUUUCUUAAAUAGAAAGAUAGUUAUUUACACAAUAGUUAUUUCCACAAAAAAGUGUGCUUGUUUAUUUGUGUGCAAGUGGAACUUAUUUUAUUCAUACUAUCAUGAGAGAUCUUUAAAAAGAGGAAAACAAUGAUUCAUAGAAAGACGUUAGGUAGGAAUACUUCUAAUAAUAUCAUAACUUUUAAUCUUGAAUGAUCCUACAACUUUAAUAGAGUAGAUAAUGUUCAGACGACCAUUAUUACAAAAAUUACCUAAACAAUCAUCGUCUCACAAACCUAUUUUGUUGCUAUUUCCUUUAAACCUAUUUUGGGAUCAACUUCUAUGUUGUUAUUAUAGUUAAUAUAUUACUAGAAGUAUAAGUAUCUAGCUAACACUAAUAAGACUAAAGGCAUGUUUAGUUGCUUCCUUUUUCUACUAACCAUGAUUUUUUUUUCUUUUCUUUAAAACUCUUAAGAUGUUCCAAAUAAAAUAUGUUCCACUUGCAUAAAGACUUCCUUGUGAAAAGAACUUGUUUAGACGGCUUAAAAAAUAUUAAUUUUUCAUGAAAACAAUUUUUACUUUGCUAAGAUGGUUCUAAUUAAUAAAAUCUAAUACAUACAGAUGUAACAAUAUAAAAAAAUAAACAUAAUAUACAUAAUUCUUUUGUAUGUCAACAAAAAAUAAAUUUAAUUUAUAAACAUAAUUGUAGUAAAACAUUUAAAAACCUAGUUUUUCAAGUUUCUCAACAAAAUUUCUUGUAGAAUAAUAUAAAAUGUUAUGAGAAAAGAAAUUUAACAAUUAUACUUAGUUUUAAAAUCUCAUGAGAUAAAGACAACAAAAUUCUUGAAAAACCUUUUAAAUUUACCACCAUUCUUAUGUUAUUUUUUUUGUAUUGAAGUCUAAGUUUUGAAAACCCAAAUGAUCUACUUCCAAAAAUAUCAUAAAUCAUCUCAUCAUCUAGAUAACCACAUCUUUUAUCUUUAAAGCAAAGAAUUGCAUUAGUUACCAAAAUUUCCAAAAUAAUUUUUGGCUAAUAAUAAAUAUGAUAAUUUCCUUUACCACUUCCAGUAACAAAAAAGUUUGUUUGACACAAAAUAACAAGACAAAAGGUAUCCAUUGACAAGCUCAAGAGCAUCAUUCCUAUUAUUGAUUUGUCCUUUUUAUAUACUUUUUAAAACCCAAACAUUUGUACUAUUAAAAAAUAUUUAUUUAAUAAUAUUUUAAGUCUAUGCAUCUUUAGUAAAAAUGAUUCAAAUGUUUAUAAUACAUGAGUUUUGAAAUAUAUCUAGUUAGUAUUCUGUAAUGAGGGGAAGUACCUAAUAAUUCCAAACGAACAAAACUUCUAUAAAGAGUCAUAUGAAAGAUACAGCUUAACUUUUUGAGCAAUAUGACUUAAAUGCAUUGAUUGCUUCCAAUGCUUGUAAAGUAUCACGAGAGUGAUUGAAUCUCUAAAAUAUUUCUUUCUUAAGGUCUUAAUAGAUCCCUUUCACUUUCAUCUAUUUAUAAACAGACGAGCAUGGAAGAUCAAGAGUCUACAAUAAACACCUAUGUGCAAACAUAGGUACUACUCCAUAUACUAAACUAGCAUACUGCCCUUAAAUAAGCUUAAUAAUGAUGCAUAUGUAUAGUUAUUCUAACAAUCUACUUAGGUAUAAUUAAUCUAACAAUCUACAUCAACUCAAUUUAAGAUCUCUUUAAGAUGAGAGUGAGCAAUGGUAAACAACAAAAUUCAAGGACUAAGAAGUCUAAGUAUGACCAUACUCCCCCUCUAAUUGAGGGACAAAAAUGAAACGUGCCGAUAAAAGUGGAAGAGUUGGCUCUCCUUUAUUCAAAGCUAUCCAAACCGAAUUACUGAUAGGGAUGCAAGGGAUGCAGGUAAGAAUCCUAACUCUCUCCCUCAACACUUUAAUAGUCACAACAAUAAAUCAGCAAAGAAUCACCCGGUGCAAGGAUCGGAAUAGACUUUAUCCUGCCCCACUUGAAAGCAGUUAGGUUAUGAUUCCUCAUUCCUUGGGGUUCCAAAAAUAUUGUUCCAUAUUGUUCCAUAUGGUUCCAAAAACACCUUUGCUCCUUCCGUGUCUCCUUGCCCCUCCAAAAGUCUCCCCUUUUCCCUCAUUCUCCCAUUUCGCCUCAUUGCCCCUCCAAAAUCCAAACUUGAGCACAUUAGUAUCACUCUCCUUAACAACAUCGAGUCCACUUUGGCGGUGACUUGCUUCCGUGCUUGCUAAAAAGUCAUGAUGGACUUUUCCCCAAUCCAGCGUAAUCUCCCCCAACCACCCACCCAAUCUGAGGAUCAUGUCAACGCCUCCUAGCUCUCGACUCUCCCAUGUUGACCAGCAAUGUCGAGCAUCCUUUCUUCCUACGACCAUCCCCAUGUUCAACCUUUAGCUCCUCUACCAUCCUUUGAUGGACAAAACUGUGGCUCACAGUAUCGUCAACACUUACGUCUGCAUCAACCUUCCUCCUGUCUAGAAUGGUAAUAGUUGCAUGCACGGAUCCCCCCCCUCUUAGUCUCCUCUACGUUUCUUUGAAUUUCGUACUCAACUAUCGCCUCCACCGUAGCUUCCGCCCCUCACAGAUCUCUCUCCCAUCGCCUUAUCUCGAGAUCAAAGAUCCAUCAAUCGGUGUAGCUCUUUCUAAAUUGCUUCUCGACAGGUCAUUUCAAGCACCACCCCCAUGAAGGGGGUUUUGACAGUCGUCCACUCAAGCAGUCGUCCAUUCAAUAUCUCGUGCAACCUUCAUCACCCACAUCAAAUCCCUUGGGUCCUGAGGUCUCAUAUGGCAUCACAAUACUACCCGUAGGCCCGCCAGAAAUAAUGCUAAGAUUAUCCAUAAACACCUACUCCGAACUCCCUCACGUUUUCCUCCACAAUGGUCAUCGGACUAAUUAAUCCCUUUCGAAAACGCCACCACAGAGGUCACUCUCAAAACGGAUCAACAUCGCCCUCGUUCAUCCAUGGACCUCAGAAUUUCUUCGUCAUGUUGAUCCAAUUCAAAGGGUCGGAGGUCAGGUCCCUCAAAGGCCACCCUUCGCCCUUCGCCACCAAUUGGAUGUUCUUUAACCCUCCCCGUUCCUUUCUGCGUCACCUCCUUUAUUAUUGACUGACCCAAAGCUAGCAUCGGAGCACUCCUCCUUUUACUUGUUUCAUAGGCACAAGCAUCGAUCGCAUCAUUUCUAGGACGCACUUGUUUAGCACAAGCAUCUAUCGUAUCGGUUUUGGAAUGUCUUUCCGCUUCGCUAUCAAUUCUUGUACGUUACCUGCUAAUUCCGCCUUCAACCCACAACAUAUACGGCCAAUUCAAGGUGUCUCCUCCGAACAGAACCGCAAGAAUCCUAACUCUCCCUCACACAAAUACACUUUAGUAAUUACAACAAGAAAUCAAAGAAUUCGAAUUGUAUUCAUAGCAAAGAAUCAAGAAUAGAAUUUGGGGAACCCAGGUGCUUUACCUCCUUCACCAGGUGCAAGGACCCCGGUAUAGAACUCACCAGUAUCAAACUCCCGCCCCACCUGACUGUUAAGCAGUUAGGUAUUAUUCCUUCUCGCCUUUCUCCUCCCGUAAACCCUCCAAGUCCAAACAAUUACUUUCGUCCAUCUUUAGAAACGAAGAGGGAGGUCUCCCUGGAUUGGCUUGAAAAACGAGAUUUGGGGAUUUCUGAUUAUAAGGUUUCGCAAAAAUAUUGCAAUUUGUCAAUAUUUUCAGUGUUUGAUGUGUCGCAAUGGGCUAUCGCACGGACGAAUCCGCAAUUCACUCGUGAUGGAUGCUUGGAUGGGCGUCGCAAUGAAGGAUCAGAAUACGUGGAGCUUCGAUGAGACGACUCACAAUGGUGAGUGACAAACACGCACCUAAGAUCCGUAUAGCAAUAGGUGGCACGUGGAUGAGCAGGUAUAGAAGGUUCGCACUAACUCUCACUAUGAUGGCCAUCGCUCAACGCAGCAAUCUGGAACCACCGGUCACCAGUCUGAACUGUAACAGGGGAGACAACGACAGACGGUGGCCAACAAAGGUCAACAACAAUGGAAAGCAGAUAAAAAACUAAAAAAAAAAUACAACAGAGGAUGAGACUAGAAUAACAGGUCAUCGCUAAACGCAGCAAUCUUGAACCCCUGGUCAACGGUCUAAACUGUACUAGUGGAGACAACGGCAGAUAGUGGCCCACAAAGGUCAACAACAAUGAAAAGCCAAAAAACAACAAAAAGAAUAGAAUAGAUGAUGAGACUAAAAGAACGGGACUACUGUUUCCAGGAAAAAAAAUUAGCGCUGUGAAGGUGAUGAAGGCCAACGACAACAUGAAAGACAGAAUAAAUAGACUCCGCCAACUUGCUCUAAUAACAUGUUGAGAUUGAUACGAUAAAAUAUUUGUUGUAGAUUUAUUGAUCCCUUUCACGUUCUUCUAUUUCUGUAGAUAGAAAAUUAAGGGAUCCUUUUCACUUUCUUCUAUUUAUAAUAAAGUUCUGAUUAAGGGUCAACCCUAGACAGACACCUAGGUGCAAACCUAGGUAUUACUCGAUCGAGUAGCACAACCCUUAAGAAGGCUUAAUAAUUAUACAUAGGUAUAAUUAUACAUAUUAUUGCGAAUAUGGAAAACUAGUAGUCUUAGAACUAUCAAGAAAAAUUUAAAGACUUCAAAGCACUAUGGAGAUCUUGUGUUAUGAACCAUAAAAUUAGUCAAGAAAAUCAAAUUAUUUUAGUAUUCUAAAAGGGGAAAAACAUAGUCUCUCAAAACCCAUGUUAAAAUUUCUUCAAUAAAUCGACACGAUAUUUUAGUACUCUAAAAGGGGAAAAACAUAACCUUAAGUCUGGAACUUGAUCUUCUAGUUGUAUUUUUGUCCAAUGACAGAAAAACACAAUGUAUCCAAGAGUUUUUAUGCUGGCAGAAUUGUCCUACGCAUGAGAUGCUUAAAUCCAAGACUUUUAUAUGCUGGAAAGAGUGUCCUCCGCGUGAGAUAUUUAGUUCCCUUUACAAGAGAGUGAUACCUGCAGAAAAAGCAUUUUAACUUUUUUAAAUACUUAAAACUUUUUAAGAAAUUAGACCUCUCAAAAUUGACUUUGAAUCUUAGUAUUUUAAAAGUUCACACCGAAACAGCUCGAUGAGAAUGGUUAGAAAACCGAAAUAAUAAAAGGAGAAAUUCGAAAAUAUGGGGAAACAAGAAAUCCCACAGAGAGAAGACCAUCACACGUAAUGAUUAACAUUAGACUCCAGGUAAUACACAACUCCAAGAACUCGAAUGGAGAGGAAACCCCUGCUUGAAAAUAAGUAAUGAGGAAAUUUUAUUUGAAACAAACCGUGCCUUUGGUAUAUUUUUACAAUUAUGGUUUUUGGAUGUUUUACAUGAACAUAAUCAUGCACUUUUUAGGUGAGCGCAGCUGAAAGUGCUGGUGUAAUAUGACUAUUUUAUAUAUUUUCUGAAGAUACCACUGCACGACAACACAAUCAACUGUACUUCUGAACAAGAACUCAACCAAACAAGCAUCGAUUAAGAAAAUUUUAAAAUUUGCCAAUGCAAUUAUAACAAAAACCAAAAAUCAGCAUGUCUCCAAGUUUCAACUAGAAGAUAAGAAACAGAGGUCCAACUAGGACAAAGAAAAAACGGAGAAAAACAAAAUUGAGAAAGAGUAUAAUUUACCUAACCAGAUCCGACUAUGAAGUUGUUGAUUGGAACGAGGAUGAGCUUGACGAAAAAAACAACAAAUCCCAUCACAACAAAACCAAUGGCUGUACGCACGACACCUUAGAGAAUUCUGAAAUACCAAACCCAUCCAAUAGAUCAGAUCCACUGAACAUAAAAUAUUUGAAGUUUUUUAGGACAAUUGACUUGUAGAUAAUAUGCCACUCACAAAUUAAAAUAAUAUAAUUUAUAACAUGAACAAAAAAUAUUGUGAAACAUAGUUAAGAGAAUUAAAUAUUCCUCCAAUCUAAGGUAGCAUUUGACAGGAGCAAUGGAACAGUUUGGUCCUAUUCCCCUUGGUUCCACCUUUUCAGUUCGAAAACCUAUUCCAUUACUAAUAUAUUUCAAUGAUUUCCCUAUUCCAACUUUGUUUUAAAAAUUAUAUGAAAAUGAACUCAAAAAAAUGGAGACCGGCUCAGAACACGUUUUCACGAGACAAGAAAGUAAAUGGAAGCAGGAACCACGGACUUUUAAUCGUCAUUUUCAGAUAAAAAGAUCUUAACUUUGUACACGAAAUGAAGAAAUUAAGGGUUUAGAGUUUAACUGUUCCGGUGGUCAAUCACAUUUACUUUCUGAUUCACAGAUUCAAAUACAUUUCCCAGUGACGAUAACAUUUAAUCAUCGUUUUCAGUUAAAGAUGCAAACUUUGUAAAGUGAAAUGAAGACAUUUAAGGUUUAGGGUUUACCUGUCACAGUGGUAAGCUUUGCGAUCUCCCAAUAAUGCCAAUCACAUUCACUUUCUGAUUCGCAGAUUCAAAAACAUUUCCCAGUGACAAGAACAUUUAAUCAUCUUUUUCGGUUAAAGAUCCAAACUUUGUAAGGUUUAGGGUUUACCUGUUGCAGUGGUAAGCUUUGAGGUCUCCUUAUAAUGCCAAACACAUUCACUGUCGCAGAUUCAAAAACAUCUCCCACUGACGAGAACAUUUAAUCAUCAUUUUCGUUUAAAGAUUCAAACUUUGUAAGAUGAAACGAAGACACUUAGGUUUAAGGUUUACCUGUUCCGGCGGUGGUGUUAAGCUUUGCGGUCGCCGCAUAAUGGAAAUGAUUCAGAGACUCAAAAACAUCUCGGGCGGAGGAGAAGAUGAAAUUAUCAAGCCAAUCUCAUUCUCUUUGUAUUUGUAAUGGUGUGAGUCCUGAACCCCGUUUUAAGCUUUCUCAUUCAAAUGUGUAAUUAUUACAUUAGAAACGGUAAAAUCAAAAGUGCGUUGGCGAUUCAUUUCCCCUCUUCACGUUCUGUCACUUCGCUGACAUUGGAAAAAGCAGCUAUCACUUCGCUGACAUUAUGAGGCGUGCAAGAAAUGUAUUAAUAGAGUCACAGAUAGUCUAUCCCUAUCAGUCAGAGCAUCAUAAACAAUAUUUCAAUAAAAAAAAAUAGAACAAAAUACCCAUGGUAAACCAAAUUAAGUAACCGUUACGAAAUUAAAUAUGAUAUUUCGAUCUAUUCUCUAUUUUGGGAUUGAUAAUGAUAUUUUAACACCAUUUUGACACUAUUUUGAUACUGUAAAUUUGUUAAAAUGUGAUUGGACGAUUUCAAAUUAAAAAAGU
Molecule: long non-coding RNA, 10141 nt
Filed under: Vigna radiata
Lineage: Eukaryota; Viridiplantae; Streptophyta; Magnoliopsida; Fabales; Fabaceae
Description: long non-coding RNA (VRAD_LNC010775)
Source: RNAcentral